AUGAACGCUGGCGGCGUGCCUAAUACAUGCAAGUCGAGCGAACAGAUGAGGAGCUUGCUCCUCUGACGUUAGCGGCGGACGGGUGAGUAACACGUGGAUAACCUACCUAUAAGACUGGGAUAACUCCGGGAAACCGGAGCUAAUACCGGAUAAUAUAUUGAACCGCAUGGUUCAAUAGUGAAAGACGGUUUUGCUGUCACUUAUAGAUGGAUCCGCGCCGCAUUAGCUAGUUGGUAAGGUAACGGCUUACCAAGGCGACGAUGCGUAGCCGACCUGAGAGGGGGAUCGGCCACACUGGAACUGAGACACGGUCCAGACUCCUACGGGAGGCAGCAGUAGGGAAUCUUCCGCAAUGGGCGAAAGCCUGACGGAGCAACGCCGCGUGAGUGAUGAAGGUCUUCGGAUCGUAAAACUCUGUUAUUAGGGAAGAACAAAUGUGUAAGUAACUAUGCACGUCUUGACGGUACCUAAUCAGAAAGCCACGGCUAACUACGUG
Molecule: ribosomal RNA, 496 nt
Filed under: uncultured bacterium
Lineage: Bacteria
Description: partial 16S ribosomal RNA
Rfam family: Bacterial small subunit ribosomal RNA
Source: RNAcentral